Molecule: ribosomal RNA, 457 nt
Filed under: uncultured bacterium
Lineage: Bacteria
Description: SSU rRNA
Rfam family: Bacterial small subunit ribosomal RNA
Source: RNAcentral
AGAAUCAACGCUGGCGGCGUGCCUAACACAUGCAAGUCGAACGAGAAAGGGACUUCGGUCCUGAGUAUAGUGGCGCACGGGUGAGUAACACGUGAAUAAUCUACCUCCGAGUGGGGAAUAACCUGGAGAAAUCUAGGCUAAUACCGCAUAACACUUACGAGUCAAAGCAGAAAUGCGCUUGGAGAGGAGUUCGCGGCAGAUUAGUUAGUUGGCGGGGUAAUGGCCCACCAAGACGAUGAUCUGUAUCCGGCCUGAGAGGGCGCACGGACACACUGGAACUGAAACACGGUCCAGACUCCUACGGGAGGCAGCAGUGGGGAAUUUUGCGCAAUGGGGAAACCCUGACGCAGCAACGCCGCGUGGAGGAUGAAGUAUCUUGGUACGUAAACUCCUUUCGAUGGGGAAGAUAAUGACGGUACCAUAGAAGAAGCCCGGCUAACUUCGCGCCAGCAGCCGC